Small nucleolar RNA from Trematomus bernacchii (emerald rockcod), 81 nucleotides. NCBI's taxonomy places the organism in Eukaryota, Metazoa, Chordata, Actinopteri, Perciformes, Nototheniidae. The record is from RefSeq and is a predicted model, not a curated record.
GUUGUCAGUGAUGAUUCCCUACUAUAUUGUUCGAGUUUAAUUGACCAUGAGACCACUACAUGCACUACCAUCUGAGACAUC